Molecule: long non-coding RNA, 337 nt
Organism: Protopterus annectens (West African lungfish)
Lineage: Eukaryota; Metazoa; Chordata; Ceratodontiformes; Protopteridae
Exons: 3
Source: RefSeq, a predicted model, not a curated record
CAGAUGAAAAGUACAGAAUAUCACAUUCGGUAUUUUAACUACCUUCUUUCCUGAAUAUUCAGUAUUUUGAAUUGCCAUAAUCUGCAGAGAGUCAGCUGAUCUCACCUCUCUAAUGGACAGUGAAAUAUACAGUCAGAUCCCAGUGAUGGAUGCUGGCUGUUAAACAGAGAACCCUGGAGAUAGUUGUAAAGAAAUGUCUUCUCAUCCUCUUCCACAAGACAGACUUUGAGGUGAUUACAUCUACUGCCAGUCAUGCCGUAAAUAAUGGGCAGUUUGUUGUGGAGUUCCAAAUGACCGAAGCACAGUGACCAUAAAGGCUGAUAGUACAAUGUUACAU